RNAcentral lists this Y RNA (96 nucleotides) under Prolemur simus (greater bamboo lemur). RNAcentral's name for it is "Y RNA (ENSPSMG00000025106.1)". It matches the Rfam family "Y RNA". Rfam says of the family: Y RNAs are components of the Ro ribonucleoprotein particle (Ro RNP), in association with Ro60 and La proteins. The Y RNAs and Ro60 and La proteins are well conserved, but the function of the Ro RNP is not known. Lineage: Eukaryota; Metazoa; Chordata; Mammalia; Primates; Lemuridae. The record is from Rfam by way of RNAcentral.
GGCUGGUCCGAUGGCAGUGGGUUAUCAGAACUUAUUAACAUUACUGUCACUGAAGUUGGUAUACAACCCCCCACUGCUAAAUUUGACUGGCUUUAA